GACGAACGCUGGCGGCGUGCCUAAUACAUGCAAGUCGAGCGGAACUGGGGGAGCUUGCUCCUUCCAGUUUAGCGGCGGACGGGUGAGUAACACGUGGGCAACCUGCCCUGCAGAUCGGGAUAACUCCGGGAAACCGGUGCUAAUACCGAAUAGUUUGGCGCCUCUCCUGAGGCGCUACGGAAAGACGGUUUCGGCUGCCACUGCAGGAUGGGCCCGCGGCGCAUUAGCUAGUUGGUGGGGUAACGGCCCACCAAGGCGACGAUGCGUAGCCGACCUGAGAGGGGGACCGGCCACACUGGGACUGAGACACGGCCCAGACUCCUACGGGAGGCAGCAGUAGGGAAUCUUCCGCAAUGGACGCAAGUCUGACGGAGCAACGCCGCGUGAGUGACGAAGGUUUUCGGAUCGUAAAACUCUGUUGUGAGGGAAGAACACGUACCAACUAACUAUUGGUACCUUGACGGUACCUCGCCAGAAAGCCACGACUAACUACGUGCCAGCCGCCGCCGUAA
This 512-nucleotide ribosomal RNA is filed under the name uncultured bacterium. RNAcentral's name for it is "partial 16S ribosomal RNA". It matches the Rfam family "Bacterial small subunit ribosomal RNA", at positions 28 to 523 of the family's 1533-position model. The record is from RNAcentral.